This 72-nucleotide transfer RNA is filed under the name Ictidomys tridecemlineatus (thirteen-lined ground squirrel). RNAcentral's name for it is "Spermophilus tridecemlineatus (thirteen-lined ground squirrel) tRNA". It matches the Rfam family "tRNA". Rfam says of the family: Transfer RNA (tRNA) molecules are approximately 80 nucleotides in length. Their secondary structure includes four short double-helical elements and three loops (D, anti-codon, and T loops). Lineage: Eukaryota; Metazoa; Chordata; Mammalia; Rodentia; Sciuridae. The record is from Rfam by way of RNAcentral.
UGGGGUGUUGUUCAGUGGUGGAGUGUUUGCCUAGCAUGCAUAAGAUCCUAGGUUAAACCCCCAGCACCACAA